RNAcentral lists this ribosomal RNA (333 nucleotides) under uncultured bacterium. RNAcentral describes it as "bacterial SSU rRNA". It matches the Rfam family "Bacterial small subunit ribosomal RNA", at positions 28 to 334 of the family's 1533-position model. The record is from RNAcentral.
GAUGAACGCUGGCGGCGUGCUUAACACAUGCAAGUCGAACGGAGUUUACAUGUGAGCGGAGGGUGCUUGCAUCUAACAAUCUUUUGUAAACUUAGUGGCGGACGGGUGAGUAACGCGUGGGUAACCUGCCGUAUACAGGGGGACAACAGUUGGAAACGACUGCUAAUACCGCAUAAGCGCACAGGACCGCAUGGUCUGGUGUGAAAAACUCUGGUGGUAUACGAUGGACCCGCGUCUGAUUAGCUAGUUGGUGAGGUAACGGCCCACCAAGGCGACGAUCAGUAGCCGGCCUGAGAGGGUGAACGGCCACAUUGGGACUGAGACACGGCCCAA